This 354-nucleotide ribosomal RNA is filed under the name Cyclophora tenuis. RNAcentral's name for it is "partial Bacterial large subunit ribosomal RNA". It matches the Rfam family "Bacterial large subunit ribosomal RNA", at positions 1104 to 1450 of the family's 2925-position model. Lineage: Eukaryota; Bacillariophyta; Fragilariophyceae; Cyclophorales; Cyclophoraceae. The record is from RNAcentral.
GCUUAGAAGCAGCCAUCAUUUAAAAAGUGCGUAACAGCUUACUGGUCGAGCAGGUCUGCGCCGAAAAUAAACGGGACUAAGGCACACACCGAAGCCACGGGUCGAUGUGAGACGCGUUCUCGCAUCGGCGGUAGAGGAGCGUUCCACACUAGGUUGAAGGUCGACCGUAAGGACGGCUGGACGACGUGGAAGUGAGAAUGCCGGCAUGAGUAACGAUAAAAAGAGCGAGAAUCUCUUUCGCCGAAAACCCAAGGUUUCCUGGGGAAGGUAAAUCCUCCCAGGGUCAGUCGGGACCUAAGGCGAGGCCGACAGGCGUAGUCGAUGGACAACGGGUUGAUAUUCCCGUACCGGCGA